GCCAGGUGUGGUGGCUCACACCUGUAAUCCUAGCACUUUGGGAGGCUGAGGUGGGUGGAUCACCUGAGGUCAGGACUUUGAGACCAGCCUGGCCAACAGGGUGAAACCCUGUCUCUU
Molecule: non-coding RNA, 117 nt
Organism: Homo sapiens (human)
Lineage: Eukaryota; Metazoa; Chordata; Mammalia; Primates; Hominidae
Rfam family: Metazoan signal recognition particle RNA
About the family: The signal recognition particle (SRP) is a universally conserved ribonucleoprotein. It is involved in the co-translational targeting of proteins to membranes.
Source: Rfam